Molecule: ribosomal RNA, 1382 nt
Filed under: uncultured bacterium
Lineage: Bacteria
Description: bacterial SSU rRNA
Rfam family: Bacterial small subunit ribosomal RNA
Source: RNAcentral
AGAGUUUGAUUCUGGCUCAGAUUGAACGCUGGCGGCAUGCCUUACACAUGCAAGUCGAACGGUAACAGGUUAAGCUGACGAGUGGCGAACGGGUGAGUAAUAUAUCGGAACGUGCCCAGUCGUGGGGGAUAACUGCUCGAAAGAGCAGCUAAUACCGCAUACGACCUGAGGGUGAAAGCGGGGGAUCGCAAGACCUCGCGCGAUUGGAGCGGCCGAUAUCAGAUUAGGUAGUUGGUGGGGUAAAGGCCCACCAAGCCAACGAUCUGUAGCUGGUCUGAGAGGACGACCAGCCACACUGGGACUGAGACACGGCCCAGACUCCUACGGGAGGCAGCAGUGGGGAAUUUUGGACAAUGGGCGCAAGCCUGAUCCAGCCAUGCCGCGUGCGGGAGGAAGGCCUUCGGGUUGUAAACCGCUUUUGUCAGGGAAGAAAAGGUUCUGGUUAAUACCUGGGACUCAUGACGGUACCUGAAGAAUAAGCACCGGCUAACUACGUGCCAGCAGCCGCGGUAAUACGUAGGGUGCAAGCGUUAAUCGGAAUUACAGGGCGUAAAGCGUGCGCAGGCGGUUAUGCAAGACAGAGGUGAAAUCCCCGGGCUCAACCUGGGAACUGCCUUUGUGACUGCAUGGCUAGAGUACGGUAGAGGGGGAUGGAAUUCCGCGUGUAGCAGUGAAAUGCGUAGAUAUGCGGAGGAACACCGAUGGCGAAGGCAAUCCCCUGGACCUGUACUGACGCUCAUGCACGAAAGCGUGGGGAGCAAGCAGGAUUAGACACCCUGGUAGUCCACGCCCUAAACGAUGUCAACUGGUUGUUGGGAGGGUUUCUUCUCAGUAACGUAGCUAACGCGUGAAGUUGACCGCCUGGGGAGUACGGCCGCAAGGUUGAAACUCAAAGGAAUUGACGGGGACCCGCACAAGCGGUGGAUGAUGUGGUUUAAUUCGAUGCAACGCGAAAAACCUUACCUACCCUUGACAUGCCAGGAAUCCUGAAGAGAUUUGGGAGUGCUCGAAAGAGAGCCUGGACACAGGUGCUGCAUGGCCGUCGUCAGCUCGUGUCGUGAGAUGUUGGGUUAAGUCCCGCAACGAGCGCAACCCUUGUCAUUAGUUGCUACGAAAGGGCACUCUAAUGAGACUGCCGGUGACAAACCGGAGGAAGGUGGGGAUGACGUCAGGUCAUCAUGGCCCUUAUGGGUAGGGCUACACACGUCAUACAAUGGCCGGGACAGAGGGCUGCCAACCCGCGAGGGGGAGCUAAUCCCAGAAACCCGGUCGUAGUCCGGAUCGUAGUCUGCAACUCGACUGCGUGAAGUCGGAAUCGCUAGUAAUCGCGGAUCAGCUUGCCGCGGUGAAUACGUUCCCGGGUCUUGCACUCACCGCCCGUC